GCCACCACUCCUCCAACAAUACGAGCGGACUCUGGUCCCCCUAUCAAUGUCAAUGAUGUUUUAGCUUUUGACG
This 73-nucleotide non-coding RNA is filed under the name Thalassiosira antarctica. Lineage: Eukaryota; Bacillariophyta; Thalassiosirophyceae; Thalassiosirales; Thalassiosiraceae. The record is from RNAcentral.